This 571-nucleotide ribosomal RNA is filed under the name Fusarium sp. C_2_BESC_319l. RNAcentral's name for it is "eukaryotic LSU rRNA". It matches the Rfam family "Eukaryotic large subunit ribosomal RNA", at positions 1 to 585 of the family's 3401-position model. RNAcentral also lists the same sequence under 2 other names. The record is from RNAcentral. Lineage: Eukaryota; Fungi; Ascomycota; Sordariomycetes; Hypocreales; Nectriaceae.
ACCUCGGAUCAGGUAGGAAUACCCGCUGAACUUAAGCAUAUCAAUAAGCGGAGGAAAAGAAACCAACAGGGAUUGCCCUAGUAACGGCGAGUGAAGCGGCAACAGCUCAAAUUUGAAAUCUGGCCUUCGGGUCCGAGUUGUAAUUUGUAGAGGAUGCUUUUGGUGAGGUACCUUCCGAGUUCCCUGGAACGGGACGCCAUAGAGGGUGAGAGCCCCGUCUGGUUGGAUACCGAUCCUCUGUAAAGCUCCUUCGACGAGUCGAGUAGUUUGGGAAUGCUGCUCUAAAUGGGAGGUAUAUGUCUUCUAAAGCUAAAUAUUGGCCAGAGACCGAUAGCGCACAAGUAGAGUGAUCGAAAGAUGAAAAGCACUUUGAAAAGAGAGUUAAAAAGUACGUGAAAUUGUUGAAAGGGAAGCGCUCAUGACCAGACUUGGGCUUGGUUGAUCAUCCAGGGUUCUCCCUGGUGCACUCUUCCAGCCCAGGCCAGCAUCAGUUCGCUGUGGGGGAUAAAGGCUUCGGGAAUGUGGCUCCUCCGGGAGUGUUAUAGCCCGCUGCGUAAUACCCUGUGGUGGA